UAACAAGGAUUCCCCUAGUAACGGCGAGCGAAGCGGGAAGAGCUCAAAUUUGAAAGCUGGCGUCUUCGGCGUCCGCGUUGUAAUCUCGAGACGUGUUUUCCGUGCGGCUCUAUGGACAAGUCCCUUGGAACAGGGCAUCGUAGAGGGUGAAAAUCCCGUACUUGCCAUGGAAGUACCGUGCUUUGUGAUACACGCUCCAAGAGUCGAGUAGUUUGGGAUUGCUGCUCAAAGUGGGUGGUAGACUCCAUCUAAAGCUAAAUAUCGGGGAGAGACCGAUAGCGAACAAGUACCGUGAGGGAAAGAUGAAAAGCACUUUGGAAAGAGAGUUAAAAGUACGUGAAAUUGUCGAAAGGGAAGCACUUGAAGUCAGCCAUGCUGCUUGAGACUCAGCCUGGCUUUUGCUUGGUGUAUUUCUCGGUAGCAAGCCAGCAUUGGUUUGUGUCGUCGGAGAAGCGUAUGGGGAAUGUGGCAUCCUCGGAUGUGUUAUAGCCCUGUGCAGGAUACGACGACGUAGACCAAGGAACGCAGUGUGCCCUCUGGGCGGGUCUUCGGACACCUUCACACUUAGGAU
Molecule: ribosomal RNA, 571 nt
Filed under: Malassezia restricta
Lineage: Eukaryota; Fungi; Basidiomycota; Malasseziomycetes; Malasseziales; Malasseziaceae
Description: LSU rRNA
Rfam family: Eukaryotic large subunit ribosomal RNA
Source: RNAcentral